GCCUGUGGUCCCAGCUAUUCGGGACGCUGAGACUGGAGGAUCUCUGGAGUCCAGGAGUUCUGGGCUGUAGUGUGCUAUGCCGAUUGGGUGUCCGCACUAAGUUUGGCAUCAAUAUGGUGACCUCCCAGGAGUGAGAGGCCACCACGUUGCCUAAGAAGCGGUGAACCGGCCCAGGUUGGAAACGGAGCAGGUCAAAACUCCAGGUGCUGAUCAGUGGUGGGAUGGCGCCUGUGAAUAGCCACUGUACUCCAGCCUGGGCAACAUAGCGAGACCCUGUCUCU
Molecule: signal recognition particle RNA, 281 nt
Filed under: Saimiri boliviensis boliviensis (Bolivian squirrel monkey)
Lineage: Eukaryota; Metazoa; Chordata; Mammalia; Primates; Cebidae
Description: Metazoan signal recognition particle RNA (ENSSBOG00000014465.1)
Rfam family: Metazoan signal recognition particle RNA
About the family: The signal recognition particle (SRP) is a universally conserved ribonucleoprotein.
Source: RNAcentral